GUCGAGAAUAAUUCACAAUGGACGAAAGUCUGAUGGUGCAACGCCGCGUGGAGGAUGACGGUCUUCGGAUUGUAAACUCCUGUCAUCCGGGAGUAAGACCUGGCUGUGAAUAGCAGACAGGGUUGAUAGUACCGGAAGAGGAAGGGACGGCUAACUUCGUGCCAGCAGCCGGGGUAAUACGAAGGUCCCGAGCGUUGUUCGGAAUCACUGGGCGUAAAGGGAGCGUAGGCGGCGUGGUAAGUCAGAUGUGAAAUCCCGGGGCUCAAACCGGGAACUGCAUCGGAUACUGCUGUGCUAGAGGAUUGGAGAGGUAGCUGGAAUUCUUGGUGUAGCAGUGAAAUGCGUGGAGAUCAAGAGGAACACUCGUGGCGAAAGCGAGCUACUGGACAAUAUCUGACGCUGAGGCUCGAAGGCCAGGGUAGCGAAAGGGAUUAGAAACCCCGGUAGUCC
RNAcentral lists this ribosomal RNA (450 nucleotides) under uncultured bacterium. RNAcentral describes it as "partial 16S ribosomal RNA". It matches the Rfam family "Bacterial small subunit ribosomal RNA", at positions 354 to 796 of the family's 1533-position model. The record is from RNAcentral.